AUUGCGAGUGUCGAACAAGAAUAGAUAAUCGACUACUGAGCGAUUAUCGAUUAUCGAACUAUUGCGAGUGUCGAAUGAUCGCUCAGCAAGCGACUGUGAAUGCUUUUUAAUCGAUCAUCUUUCUACAGCCAUUUUCUAGUCGUUGGAGAGUAAAGUUGAUGAAAAAAGAACGAAAAUGGAUAAAAAAUCAAAAGUAGUUAGUAACAAAAAGCAACUAGCGCGAUUAGUGGAGUUGAUGCAAAAAAACAGCGACUUAGGAAAAGGUAUCUGCGGAAAAGUUCAAGGAAAGGCAAGUUGGGAGCGGGUAGCUGUAGAGUUGAACAGUUUGGGACCACCAAUGCGCUCGUGGGAAAAGUGGUUGAAGGUAAAAUACAAUUACAUAUUUGGGGUUUUGUAUUGAGUUUACCUCACAAAGAACUCGUUCAAAUAAAUCAAACAACCGAAUAAUAUUUAAAAUGCUUUAUAACUUAAAAGAUUAUUUAGUCUUUUACAAGAUAAUUACAGGUUAAUAGUUUGCGUUGAUAUAUCGGCAAGCACGUCUAAAUUCGAUGACAUCCAGAAAGAAAAAGGGAAGAUGAACAAUUUUAGUGAUGCCAGAUUGAGUUUUAUUUUACAACUCGGAAAUUAGCGCAGGGUUGCACUAAUUCGCGAAAGUGAAAUUAUUGCCACAAAGUUUGCGGAAAUACAAAUGCCGCCACACAUAUAUAGCUUUCGUAAAUAAGAUACACGUAUUUUAUUAUAGGUGUGGACGGAUCUUCAGAGUAAAACCAGAAAAAAAGCUUCGCAAAAUAAAAUAGAGCUUCGUGCAACUGGUGGGGGUCCAAACAGCUUGCAUACAUUUUCUGCGAUGGAAGAAGCAAUCAUCAGCCUCCUUAAUAUGGAUGUCUGCACUGAUCCACUGUAUAGGGAAGAGCUUAAAAAUAAGGGGAAAAAUAAAGCAGAUAAGCUA
Molecule: long non-coding RNA, 949 nt
Organism: Rhagoletis pomonella (apple maggot)
Lineage: Eukaryota; Metazoa; Arthropoda; Insecta; Diptera; Tephritidae
Exons: 3
Source: RefSeq, a predicted model, not a curated record